RNAcentral lists this long non-coding RNA (4275 nucleotides) under Homo sapiens (human). RNAcentral describes it as "HSALNT0143951". Lineage: Eukaryota; Metazoa; Chordata; Mammalia; Primates; Hominidae. The record is from RNAcentral.
UAUGGUUUGGCUGUGUCCCCACCCAAAUUCCAUCUUGAAUUGUAGUUCCCAUAAUCCCCACUUGUCAUGGGAGGGACUUGGUGGGAGGUAAUUGAAUCAUGGGGGUGGUUUCCUCUAUGCUGUUAUUGUAAUAGUGAGUGAGUUCUCACAAGAUCUGAUGGUUUUAUAAGAGGCGUUCCCCUUCUGCUUGGCAUUCUCUCUCCUGCCGCCCUAUAAAGAAGGGCAUGUUUGUUUCCCCUUCUGCCAUGAUUGUAAGUUUCCUGAGGCUUCUAGCCCUGCAGACCUGCACAUCAAUCAAACUUCUUUCCUUUAUAAAUUACUCAGCCUUGGGUAUUUCUUCAUAGCAUCAUGGGAACAGACUAAUACAACCUCUCACUCAUGCCUCUGCUGAGGAAAGUUUUGUCUGAUUAAUGGAUGAGGGGAACAAGUUAGUCAACCUCUGUGACUCAUUACCUGGACCAUGGAUCAUGCUUUUUUCUCUGUUCCUGCUGCACUGUGACAAGAUAAUACUGCGAUGAAUAUUUUGUGACGUAUUUCCAUAUCCACAUAUAUGACAGCUUCUCUAGGUUGUGUGUCUCAGAAGAGAAAUAAUGUAUCAUAGAUUUUGGAAGAAGCACGAAAAUGAUUUACUGAUUUAGGAACUGGGUGGAGUAGACCACAAAAAGACAAAUCAAAAACAUCUGGAAUGAACUAGUUGAGAGAGAAAAAGAGAGAGCAAGAAAAAAAGCAGGAGCCGGCAAGAGGGAGCCUCAGCCAACACUACAUCAGAGGCACAUUGUGGAUGGAGGAAAUGAGUUUAGUCAAGCCAGCUGUGACUUCAAAGGGGCUGCUCUCCCAGAGAACAGUGAGAAAGGGUUCCCCCUUCAGUGAAGACUGCAAAGUUCAGCCAGCGCCAACCCAAAGGGAAUGGACUCCAGGAAGGGGCAAAUUACAUUCAACAUACAAGAAAGAAUAUUUUCCUUCAUGAAGUGGCUGUGACAGUCUGAAGAGGAAGGAAAAUGACAAAAAAGAAAGAAAACUACACAUUUCUUUCAAAUUACUUACUUCACACAAAUUUACUGAGGAACAAUAGGGUGGACCCUGCAUAUUCGAAGACAAGAUCGUCUGUGUUCCAGUUCAAAAGAAGAAGCUAGACACAUAAACUGAAGAUUAUGGUAUUGAGUGAUAAGCCUUGGAGCAGGAAUCCCAAAGUGUGAUCACAUGACCAGCAGCAGCAACAUCACCUGGGAACUUGUUAGAAAUGCAAAUUUGCAGGCCCUAAUCCAAAUCUACUGAAUAAGAAAGUUGAGGUUGAUUUAACAAGCCCUUCAAGUGAUUCAAUGCUUGCUAAAACUGGAGAACCACCUUGAUAGUGAAGGGACAAAAGGACUUUUGUGCAGAGAGCUAACACAUCUGAACUAACCUUGAGAUCCUCUGCCAUCUAUAAAUCACUUCUCAAUCUCUUCCCGAUAAGAUUCUAAAUAGGUGGCUCUCUGGCAAUUCAAGGGAUGAUACACGCGUGUGUGUCUUCUCUCUUUAUGUAAGUUAUAAGAUCUGAAUGACAGAGGCACAUUCUUCUUUUAUGUUUUCUUUCCUUUCUCCUCCUAUUUUUAGGGCCAGUACGUGGAAAAUGCGGAAAUUGGAACUUACUAUAAGUAACUAAUUCAGAAAUCAGGCUGGCAGAAGUGUUAUACAUUCACUGGAAGAAAUUGGUGAAUAUAUGGAAAACAUAAAUGUUAUGUAUCCUGGAACUUAAAAUAAAAAUUAAUAAUAAAAAAUGUUAUCUCUCCCAAGCACUCAUUUGAUGCUUGAAUCCUCUCUAUGACAUCCUUACCAAGGAUUUGUUCUUCUUAUGCUUGGGUACUUCAACUGAUGAGAAUCUCACUAGCUCAGGAUGCAGUUUGCUUUCUUUUAGAUAGCUCUGUUAGAGCUGCCUUCUUCCAGGGCUGAACACUUCCAUAAUUUAAAUUCCAUUUAUUAGUUUUAGUCCUGCCCCUUGGGAACUCGUAGCAAAGAUACUUACAUAUUAAUGUGACAUUUUUCAGGUACUUGAGGUUAGUAAUUAUGUAGCAUAUGACAUAGAUUAAACUCAUAGACUCUGGAAACAAACUACUUGCCUUCCCUUCAAAUUCUUAUUCUGCCACUUACUUACUAUGUGACCUCCAGAGAGUUAUUUACUAUCUCUGUAACUUUAUUUCUUUAUCUAUAUAAAAAGAUAUAAUAAUAGCAGUACAUCAAAGGGCUUUUAUAAGGAGUCCAUGAAUUAAUAUAUGUAGAUGUGCCUGGAACACGGUAAGUGCUCUAAAAGUUUUCACUAUUACUAAUCAUCAUCAUUAUUAUACAGAUCUUGUCAGAUAUCGGACCUAGGCCAUCUUUCUAAGUCUUUACUCAUUCAUUAAGUGAGCUCAUUCACUCCCAUGGCUUCAAUCACCAUCUAUAUGAUUAUGAAAAAUCUAUUUUCCUCCUGAGCCAAGAGCUAAAUGUAAGUGACCAGUUAUGGAUACAGGAAUUGCUCUGGCCACCAUAAUUUGGGUGGAAAUGGUGCAUACCACUUCCAGUUCUUGCCCCUUAAAAUACCAUGAGAAAUCUUGCACUCCUUUCUCCUAGUUCAUCAGCUAACUGAAUGCAGAGAAACCAGUGGAGGACUCCAAGGAAAUUCCAAAGAGUGGUUGAACCACGGGUUGGAAGAAGUCUAGAUCCCUGAGUCAAUGUUUGGAGAGGAGCUGCCGAGGAGAGCCACCAGAGAGGGACACAUGAGCAAGAAAUAAACAUUUCUUCUGUUAAAACAUUGAGAUUUUAUAGCCCAUCAUGACUAAUCCAAUGAGACCCUAGUGUAGAUCUUUUGCUUAGUCUUCGCUUCUGAGAUCUAGAACUAUAUAUUUCAUUUGCUAAUCACCAUUUCUACAUGAACCCUCAAAUAGGGUAAUAGGUAAACUCAGAGUUUCUAAGAUUAGACUGUGUUGAAAUCUUAGUCCUUCCAGGUACAGCUAUAUGACUCAAUGUGUGUGUGGGGGCGGGGGCAGGGGGGUUAAAUAAACUAUUCAUAACUGUAUCUACUUAAAAGUAAUAAGAAAAUGAAAUGAGCAUAUACAUAUAUAUAAAACAGUUAUCGGCACAUAGUAAAUGCUCAGUAAUUGUCAGGUAAUACAGUUAUUAUGACCAUCCCACUCCAAAUUUGCUCUUUCCCCAGGUUUUUUAUGUUGAUAAAUGGUACCACCAUCCAAUAGUUGUUAAAAUUAGAAAUUUGCAACUUUAUCUUGGAUCACUUUUUUUAUCCUCCCACAUGGAUAAAGUCAAUCAAUAACUGAUUGAUUACACUCCUUCAGUAUUUUUCAAAUCCAUUUGCUUAACUCUCUCCUCUUCUAUUCUACACUUUUCAUCCUAGUUAAAGCCACCAGCCUAUGUAACUUUAUUAUAUUUGCGUCCUUACUAGUCUUUUCAAAUCCAUCCUUGCACCCUCCCAAUUCAUGCUUUAUGUGGAAAUGUAGGCAUUUUUUAAAAAAUUCAAAUCAAAUCUUGCUGCUCAAAAUUUUAAAUGCAUCAACACCGAUUGCUCUUUGGUGCCACCACAUUCCUGACCCAUUACUUCAGCACCCCCUCAAACCCACCACAGGACUUUAUUUCUACAAUUCAGCCACACUGGACUUUUGUCGGUGUCAGAAAAGUGCCAUAGAUUGUCCCAUCUUUGAUGUUAUCAUGUGUUGGUUACUUUUGCUUAGAAUAAACUUUCUCCCCAUCCCAGUUUACCUAAUUAAUUCCUGACCACUCUUUACAUUUCUGCUUAAAUGCUAUACUCUCCAGAAAGCCCUCUUAGCAAUCUCUGCCCACACUUCUUAAAGCUAUGCCUACAUAGCCCCCACCUUAUUUCUUCAUUAAACUCUUUGCACUUGCCAUUAUUUGUAUAAUUAUGUUUUCCCAGCUAACCAGGAGACUUUGUGAGGGCAGAGACCUCAUAUGUAUGGCUCACUGCCUGGUAUAGACAGUAUAUUGGCUUAUACGAAGGAGGAGUUUAUUAAAUACAGUAAAUUUUUUUAAGUGUGAAUAUGAGUCUGUUAAAUGACUGUGUGUAUAUGUACCCAAUGUAAAGUUUUAUUUGGUUCGGUCUAGAAAAAUGUCCUACAGCCAAUUCAUGUACCUAAUUAAAUUCACUUACAAAUUUAGGAAACUCAGCACCUGCCCUAUUUGAGUUUAAAACUAGUUGAUUUGAUAGACAUAUAAAAUAAAAACUAUACUAUAGUAUCAUCCAUGCUGUCAUAAUAGAAUUAUCUCAAAACCUCCAUUGAUGUACUAUUUGGG